CGCGCGCCGGGAAAUGGCCGGGCGCGCGGCCGGCCUGCGGCGCGCUCCACAACGCGGAACGGGCCUCAGAAGAGCCACCGCGCGCGCUCCCGCUAAUUCGCGACCACACCCCUGUCUACUUCCAUGUCCAAUAGGUGCGAGAGGGCGGGACGGCCUCGUUCUGACUCCGGGAGGCUAUAUAAGGAGCUACUGGCUGCGCACUUCGGUCUUUUACGUCGGCCUUCGCGAGCGUCUGGGCGGGUGGUAGGAACAAUGGCGCUGUCUUCAGUGGCACAGUGGAGCAGCUCUGAAGAUGCAAAGAUACACGAAAAAACUUCCAGAACAUCUGGGAGAAUAUUUAAUGGAAAAUCGCUUGGUUAAAACCUGACACUUUUAACAGUGAACAGCGUUCUGAGUGUGGACGAGUAGCCAGUGAAGAUAAUGAAUGUCGAAUGUGACUGACUAGCAGCUUCAUUUUGAAUGAGGGUCGCUGUCUGCCCAUUGAUAGAGGCCAGAUUGUCUUGGAAGUUCCAAAGUUGCAACGAUUUCUGGCUAGUGCCACGAGGUUUACUUGACUGUUGUGUGAAAAGCUGAUAAGAAAACCAUCCAGAAAAAAGCUCUUCGUUUUACAAACAUGAAAAUAAAACAUUUAGUUGAAUCCAUGGACAUGAAACCCACAGAUAUAGAGGGUUGGCCCGGUGCAGUGGCUCACGCCUGUAAUCCCAGCACUUUGGGAGGCCAAGGCGGGUGGAUCACCUGAGGUCAGAAGCUUGAGACCAGCCUGGCCAACAUGGGUACUGCUUUCUCUUGCUGCAGCUUGCUUCCUCCCUCAGGUAUGAAGUUAAGCUACUCGGGAGGCUGAGGCAGGAGAAUCGCUUGAACCCGGGAGGCGGAGGUUGCCAUGAGCCGAGAUUGCGCCACUACACUCCAGCCUGGGCAACAAAAGCGAAACUCCAUCUCAAAAAAAAAAAAAAGGCAUAUAAAAUUAUAGCUGGGUAGGAGGAAUAAGUUCUAGUGUUCUACACCACUGUGGGAUGACUAUAGUUAACAAUAAUACAUACUUUCAGGUAACAUGAAGGAGGAUAUUGAAUGUUCCUAACACAAAGAAAUGAUAAAUGUUUGAGAUGGUGGAUGUACUAAUUGCCCUGAUCUGAUGACUAUACAUUAUAUAUAUUGAAACAUCAGUAUGUACCCCAUGAAUAUGUACAAUUAUAUGUCAACUUAAACACAUUUAAAAGUAAAAAAAAAAAAAUCCAAAACACGCAAGGAACUGAGCCAGCACGAAUAAGAAUUAGCAAAAUCUUCAAACCUCAAGACCAGACUCACAAGGACUUCAGAUACAGAAAUUUUAAAUAAAAAUUAUAAAAUGAGUAUGUUAAAAUGUUUAAAGAAAUAAAGGAAGGCAUUGGUAUAUGAUACAGAAAUAAAAGACCAUCAAAAAUAAUUUGGAUGACAUGAAAACAAUCAAAUAGACAUUCUGGAAAUAAAACAUAUAUAAUGGACAGGAGUGAAUGUCCCUAGGCUCCUGACCUCUCUGCAUUUGCAAGUAGUCUGAGCCAGAAAACGCUGAAAGACCUCAGAAGCCAAGUGGAAGCCCCACAGUGAAGCCAGGAGGGCCUUCAUUUCAGACUCAGCAGCUGCCCACGGUGGUGGCUGACACACUGCUGUAGCAUGUGUGCUGCCUGAACACUCACUGGCCACCCCCACAGCCCAGAGCACUGGCAUCAUCUGUACUAUCGGCCUAGUUUCCUGAUUGGUGGAAAUGUUGAUGAUUAAGUCUGGAAUUAAUAUGGCUUGUCUGAACUUACGAGUACCACGCAGAGACCAUCAGGAAUGUGUGCACAACUAUGGAAAGCCUUGCUUCUGACCCCAAUCUCUAGCGGCUAGUUGCUGUGGCUCUGGACACUAACGGGCCUGAGAUCUGAACUGGGCUCACACAGAGCAGUGUCCCCAUGGAGGUGGAGCUGAAGAAGGGAGCCACCUUCAGAUCACACUGGAUAAUGCCUACAUGGAAAACUUAUGAUGAGAACUUCCUGUAGCUGGACUACAAGAACAUUUGUAAGGUAGUGGAAAGGGGCAGCAAGAUCUAUAGAUUUAAUAACUUAUUUCUCUGCAGUUGGAGCAGAAAGGUACUGACCUCCUGGUGAUAGCAAUGGAAAAUUAUGGCUCCUUGGGCAGCAAAAAGGGUGUAGACCUUCCUGGUGACUGUGGACCUGCUUGCCAUGUCAGAAAAGGACAUCCAGGAUCUGAAGUUUGGGGUAGAAUGGGAUGUGGAUAUGGUGUUUGCCUCUUUCAUCCAUGUGGCAUCUAAUGUCCAUGAAAUUAGAAAGGCAAUUAUUGCAAACUGGAGCAAGGUGCCCACUUGCCCACCAGAGUUAGGCUCUUACCUUCCCAGAGGAACUGAGACCCACAGCUAUUUUUAUAUAUCUUACAGUUCAGAUCAGAUACAAAUAUGUAAACCUCUACAUUAUUUCUAUGUAGAAAUUAUGAUACUCUUUAAGCCUGUCACAGAUUUUGUUAUUUAAUGCAAAGAAGCACAUAUAUUACUAUGGGACACUUUUGGUUUGUUUAAAUAUUUUGAUAGUUGUAUUUUAAUGUAAAGGGUUUCAUUUGUAAUCUUAUACAGAUGGUCCCCAACUUACAAUGGUUCAACUUAUGAUUUUUCAUCUUUACAACGGCAUGAAAGCAAUACAUUUUCAGUAGAAACUGUAGGUCAAAUACUCAUACAACCAUUCUGUUUUUCACUUUACUGCAGUAUUUAAUAAACAUAUGAGAUAUUCAAGAUUUUAA
Molecule: long non-coding RNA, 2769 nt
Filed under: Homo sapiens (human)
Lineage: Eukaryota; Metazoa; Chordata; Mammalia; Primates; Hominidae
Description: HSALNT0335497
Source: RNAcentral